UGGGGAAUAUUGCACAAUGGGCGCAAGCCUGAUGCAGCCAUGCCGCGUGUGUGAAGAAGGCCUUCGGGUUGUAAAGCACUUUCAGCGAGGAGGAAGGUGGUGAGCUUAAUAUGCUCAUCAAUUGACGUUACUCGCAGAAGAAGCACCGGCUAACUCCGUGCCAGCAGCCGCGGUAAUACGGAGGGUGCAAGCGUUAAUCGGAAUUACUGGGCGUAAAGCGCACGCAGGCGGUUUGUUAAGUCAGAUGUGAAAUCCCCGGGCUCAACCUGGGAACUGCAUUUGAAACUGGCAAGCUAGAGUCUCGUAGAGGGGGGUAGAAUUCCAGGUGUAGCGGUGAAAUGCGUAGAGAUCUGGAGGAAUACCGGUGGCGAAGGCGGCCCCCCUGGACGAAGACUGACGCUCAGGUGCGAAAGCGUGGGGCAGCAAACAGGAUUAGAUACCCUGGUAGUCCACGCUGUAAACGAUGUCGAUUUGGAGGUUGUGCCCUUGAGGCGUGGCUUCCGGAGCUAACGCGUUAAAUCGACCGCCUGGGGAGUACGGCCGCAAGGUUAAAACUCAAAGGAAUUGACGGGGUCAUAGCUGUUUCCU
RNAcentral lists this ribosomal RNA (588 nucleotides) under uncultured bacterium. Its description in RNAcentral is "partial 16S ribosomal RNA". It matches the Rfam family "Bacterial small subunit ribosomal RNA", at positions 355 to 1375 of the family's 1533-position model. The record is from RNAcentral.